This is a non-coding RNA of Pelobates cultripes (western spadefoot toad), 233 nucleotides long. The record is from the annotation of a GenBank genome assembly. Lineage: Eukaryota; Metazoa; Chordata; Amphibia; Anura; Pelobatidae.
CUAUCCACGAACCGCUAUGUUUGGUAUUUUGACUGUAUUAAGUAAUCCCGAAAGAGACCAACCGCACAGCCUGAAUUCAUGGAACUCUUUUGGGCAGGAGCCUCAUGUGCGGUCGGUCAAAAUAUGACUUCCAUGGAAAUCCUGAACCCCUGAACUGAUCUGGGUAAUUUUUACAUAUGUUGGUCACCCAGAUUGGGCCUAUCAGGGUAUGUAGGGGGGUUCCAUGGGUUUUA